This 447-nucleotide ribosomal RNA is filed under the name uncultured bacterium. RNAcentral's name for it is "partial 16S ribosomal RNA". It matches the Rfam family "Bacterial small subunit ribosomal RNA", at positions 329 to 793 of the family's 1533-position model. The record is from RNAcentral.
ACCCAGACUCCUACGGGAGGCAGCAGUGGGGAAUAUUGCACAAUGGGGGCAACCCUGAUGCAGCGACGCCGCGUGAGCGAUGGAGUACUUCGGUAUGUAAAGCUCUGUCAGCAGGGAAGAGAAUGACGGUACCUGACCAAGAAGCCCCGGCUAACUACGUGCCAGCAGCCGCGGUAAUACGUAGGGGGCAAGCGUUAUCCGGAUUUACUGGGUGUAAAGGGAGCGUAGACGGCAGUGCAAGUCCGGAGUGAAAGCCCGGGGCUCAACCCUGGGACUGCUCUGGAAACUGUAAAGCUGGAGUGCGGGAGGGGCAGGCGGAAUUCCUGGUGUAGCGGUGAAAUGCGUAGAUAUCAGGAGGAACACCGGCGGCGAAGGCGGCCUGCUGGACCGUAACUGACGUUGAGGCUCGAAAGCGUGGGGAGCAAACAGGAUUAGAUACCCCUGUAU